Molecule: long non-coding RNA, 119 nt
Organism: Nomascus leucogenys (northern white-cheeked gibbon)
Lineage: Eukaryota; Metazoa; Chordata; Mammalia; Primates; Hylobatidae
Exons: 3
Source: RefSeq, a predicted model, not a curated record
UUGAUUUUUGUGUAAUUUUUUUUCUAAAGGCAUCAUACUACCUAACUUCAAGAUAUACUACAAAGCCAUAGUAACCAAAACAGCAUGGUACUGGCAUAAAAACAGACAUAUAGAUUAAU